RNAcentral lists this ribosomal RNA (2866 nucleotides) under Stenotrophomonas maltophilia. RNAcentral's name for it is "bacterial LSU rRNA". It matches the Rfam family "Bacterial large subunit ribosomal RNA". The record is from RNAcentral. Lineage: Bacteria; Pseudomonadati; Pseudomonadota; Gammaproteobacteria; Lysobacterales; Lysobacteraceae.
AUAAGCGCACACGGUGGAUGCCUUGGCGGUCAGAGGCGAUGAAGGACGUGGCAGCCUGCGAAAAGUAUCGGGGAGCUGGCAACAAGCUUUGAUCCGGUAAUGUCCGAAUGGGGAAACCCACCCGCUUGCGGGUAUCCUGCAGUGAAUACAUAGCUGCUGGAAGCGAACCUGGUGAACUGAAAUAUCUAAGUAACCAGAGGAAAAGAAAUCAACCGAGAUUCCGUAAGUAGCGACGAGCGAACGCGGACUAGCCCUUAAGCUGGAUUGGUUCUAGGAAAACGCUCUGGAAAGAGCGGCCAUAGAAGGUGAUAGCCCUGUAUCUGAAAGGGCCAUUCCAGUGAAGACGAGUAGGGCGGGGCACGUGAAACCCUGUCUGAACAUGGGGGGACCAUCCUCCAAGGCUAAAUACUACUGACCGACCGAUAGUGAACCAGUACCGUGAGGGAAAGGCGAAAAGAACCCCGGAGAGGGGAGUGAAAUAGAACCUGAAACCGUGUGCGUACAAGCAGUAGGAGCUCCGCAAGGAGUGACUGCGUACCUUUUGUAUAAUGGGUCAGCGACUUACUGUUCGUGGCAAGCUUAACCGUAUAGGGGAGGCGAAGGGAAACCGAGUCUGAUAAGGGCGCAUAGUCGCGGGCAGUAGACCCGAAACCGGGUGAUCUAGUCAUGCCCAGGGUGAAGGUGCGGUAACACGCACUGGAGGCCCGAACCCACUCCCGUUGCAAAGGUAGGGGAUGAGGUGUGAUUAGGAGUGAAAAGCUAAUCGAACCCGGAGAUAGCUGGUUCUCCUCGAAAGCUAUUUAGGUAGCGCCUCAUAUGUAUCCUCUCGGGGGUAGAGCACUGUUAUGGCUAGGGGGUCAUCGCGACUUACCAAACCAUUGCAAACUCCGAAUACCGAGACGGACUGUAUGGGAGACACACGGCGGGUGCUAACGUCCGUCGUGAAAAGGGAAACAACCCAGACCCACAGCUAAGGUCCCAAAUUCACUGCUAAGUGGAAAACCAUGUGGAAAGGCACAGACAGCCAGGAGGUUGGCUUAGAAGCAGCCACCCUUUAAAGAAAGCGUAAUAGCUCACUGGUCGAGUCGGUCUGCGGGGAAGAUUUAACGGGGCUAAGCAGUGAACCGAAGCUUGGGGUGCAUACUUUGUAUGCGCGGUAGAGGAGCGUUCCGUAAGCCGUUGAAGGUGGAUUGAGAAGUCUGCUGGAGGUAUCGGAAGUGCGAAUGCUGACAUGAGUAACGAUAAUGCGGGUGAAAAACCCGCACGCCGAAAGCCCAAGGUUUCCUUGCGCAACGUUAAUCGGCGCAGGGUGAGUCGGCCCCUAAGGCGAGGACGAAAGUCGUAGUCGAUGGGAAGCAGGUUAAUAUUCCUGCACCUCGCGUAAGUGCGAUGGAGGGACGGAGAAGGUUAGGUGUACCAGGCGUUGGUUGUCCUGGGGAAAGGCGGUAGGUUUGGAUCUUUGGCAAAUCCGGGAUCCUUUAAGACCGAGCACCGAGACGAGCCUUUAUGGCGAAGUCACUGAUACCACGCUUCCAGGAAAAGCUCCUAAGCUUCAGCUUACGCAGACCGUACCGUAAACCGACACAGGUGGGUAGGAUGAGAAUUCUCAGGCGCUUGAGAGAACUCGGGUGAAGGAACUAGGCAACAUGGCACCGUAACUUCGGGAGAAGGUGCACCCUUUUUGGUGGCUCGUGCGAGCUAUAGCUGAAGAGGGUCGCAGUAACCAGGCCGCUGCGACUGUUUAUCAAAAACACAGCACUCUGCAAACACGAAAGUGGACGUAUAGGGUGUGACGCCUGCCCGGUGCUGGAAGGUUAAUUGAUGGGGUCAGCCGCAAGGCGAAGCUCUUGAUCGAAGCCCCAGUAAACGGCGGCCGUAACUAUAACGGUCCUAAGGUAGCGAAAUUCCUUGUCGGGUAAGUUCCGACCUGCACGAAUGGCGUAACGACAGCGGCGCUGUCUCCACCCGAGACUCAGUGAAAUUGAAAUCGCUGUGAAGAUGCAGCGUUCCCGUGGCAAGACGGAAAGACCCCGUGAACCUUUACUAUAGCUUUACACUGAACGUUGAGUUCGUCUGUGUAGGAUAGGUGGGAGGCUAUGAAACUGUGGCGCUAGCUGCAGUGGAGCCAUCCUUGAAAUACCACCCUGUCGUGCUUGACGUUCUAACCUGGGCCCAUUAUCUGGGUCGGGGACCGUGUAUGGUGGGUAGUUUGACUGGGGCGGUCUCCUCCUAAAGAGUAACGGAGGAGCUCGAAGGUACGCUCAGCGCGGUCGGACAUCGCGCACUGUGUGCAAAGGCAUAAGCGUGCUUGACUGCAAGAUCGACGGAUCAAGCAGGUAGGAAACUAGGACUUAGUGAUCCGGUGGUUCUGUAUGGAAGGGCCAUCGCUCAACGGAUAAAAGGUACUCCGGGGAUAACAGGCUGAUACCGCCCAAGAGUUCAUAUCGACGGCGGUGUUUGGCACCUCGAUGUCGGCUCAUCACAUCCUGGGGCUGUAGUCGGUCCCAAGGGUAUGGCUGUUCGCCAUUUAAAGUGGUACGCGAGCUGGGUUCAGAACGUCGUGAGACAGUUCGGUCCCUAUCUGCCAUGGGCGUUGGAGAUUUGAGAGGGGCUGCUCCUAGUACGAGAGGACCGGAGUGGACGAACCUCUGGUGUUCCGGUUGUCACGCCAGUGGCAUUGCCGGGUAGCUAUGUUCGGAAGCGAUAACCGCUGAAAGCAUCUAAGCGGGAAGCGCGCCUCAAGAUGAGAUCUCCCGGGGCACAAGCCCCCUGAAGGAACCAUGUAGACUACGUGGUUGAUAGGUCAGGUGUGUAAGUACAGCAAUGUAUUGAGCUAACUGAUACUAAUGAUCCGUGCGGCUUGACC